This 775-nucleotide ribosomal RNA is filed under the name uncultured Neocallimastigales. RNAcentral describes it as "partial large subunit ribosomal RNA". It matches the Rfam family "Eukaryotic large subunit ribosomal RNA", at positions 24 to 647 of the family's 3401-position model. The record is from RNAcentral. Lineage: Eukaryota; Fungi; Neocallimastigomycota; Neocallimastigomycetes; Neocallimastigales.
GUAGUCUCGCACAGAUGCAUAUCAAUAAGCGGAGGAAAAGAAACUAACAAGGAUUCCCCUAGUAACGGCGAGUGAAGCGGGAAGAGCUCAAAUUUGAAAUCUUAAAGGGUUUCCCUUUACGAAUUGUAGUUUAAAGAAGUGUUUUCUGCUGAGGUUUUGGUAAAAGUUCUUUGGAAUAGGACAUCAUAGAUGGGUGAGAAUCCCGUAUUUGACCUUUACUUUCAACUUUGUGAUACACUUUCAAAGAGUCGGAUUGUUUGGGAAUGCAGUCCAAAAUGGGUGGUAAAUUUCAUCUAAAGCUAAAUAUUGGCGAGAGACCGAUAGCGAACAAGUACCGUGAGGGAAAGAUGAAAAGAACUUUGAAAAGAGAGUUAAACAGUACGUGAAAUUGUCAAAAGGGAAGCGUUUGACACCAGUGUUGUUUUUCUGAAAAUCAAUUAAAGAACUGUUUAUGCUAAGCUGUUUAGACUUUAUCAGCUAUCUGUUUAGUUUUGAGCUUUUCUUUAAUGCACUUUUCAGUUAACAAGUCAACAUCAAUUUCUUUUGCUGUAAAAAAGCUUGAGGAAGGUGGCUUGAGAUUCGUCUUAAGUGUUUAUAGCCUCUUGCCUAUGCAGUCGGAGAGAUUGAGGUCUGCAGCGUAGAUCCUUCGGGGCUAAAUGCAUUUGUGCUAAGUUAUAACAUUUUAUAGACAACUUGUUGACUAUGAUUUGUCUUGUAGCUUACUCGCUUAUGUUAUUUUACCUACGCUUAGGAUGUUGACGCAUGAGAUAUACGC